CGGACGGGUGAGUAAUGCGUGGAAGACCUGCCGUAUACUGGGGGAUAACACUUAGAAAUAGGUGCUAAUACCGCAUAAGCGCACAGCUUCGCAUGAAGCGGUGUGAAAAACUCUGGUGGUAUACGAUGGUUCCGCGUCUGAUUAGCUAGUUGGUGGGGUAAUGGCCUACCAAGGCAACGAUCAGUAGCCGGCCUGAGAGGGUGAACGGCCACAUUGGGACUGAGACACGGCCCAAACUCCUACGGGAGGCAGCAG
This 255-nucleotide ribosomal RNA is filed under the name uncultured bacterium. Its description in RNAcentral is "partial 16S ribosomal RNA". It matches the Rfam family "Bacterial small subunit ribosomal RNA", at positions 99 to 354 of the family's 1533-position model. The record is from RNAcentral.